Molecule: ribosomal RNA, 950 nt
Filed under: Italica heraclei
Lineage: Eukaryota; Fungi; Ascomycota; Dothideomycetes; Pleosporales; Phaeosphaeriaceae
Description: SSU rRNA
Rfam family: Eukaryotic small subunit ribosomal RNA
Source: RNAcentral
GCGAAUGGCUCAUUAAAUCAGUUAUCGUUUAUUUGAUAGUACCUUACUACUUGGAUAACCGUGGUAAUUCUAGAGCUAAUACAUGCUAAAAACCCCAACUUCGGGAGGGGUGUAUUUAUUAGAUAAAAAACCAACGCCCUUCGGGGCUUCUUGGUGAUUCAUGAUAACUUUACGGAUCGCAUGGCCUUGCGCCGGCGACGGUUCAUUCAAAUUUCUGCCCUAUCAACUUUCGAUGGUAAGGUAUUGGCUUACCAUGGUUUCAACGGGUAACGGGGAAUUAGGGUUCGAUUCCGGAGAGGGAGCCUGAGAAACGGCUACCACAUCCAAGGAAGGCAGCAGGCGCGCAAAUUACCCAAUCCCGACACGGGGAGGUAGUGACAAUAAAUACUGAUACAGGGCUCUUUUGGGUCUUGUAAUUGGAAUGAGUACAAUUUAAACCUCUUAACGAGGAACAAUUGGAGGGCAAGUCUGGUGCCAGCAGCCGCGGUAAUUCCAGCUCCAAUAGCGUAUAUUAAAGUUGUUGCAGUUAAAAAGCUCGUAGUUGAAACUUGGGUCUGGCUGGUAGGUCCGCCUCACCGCGUGUACUUGUCCGGCCGGGCCUUCCUUCUGGAGAACCUCAUGCCCUUCACUGGGCGUGUUGGGGACCAGGACUUUUACUUUGAAAAAAUUAGAGUGUUCAAAGCAGGCCUUUGCUCGAAUACGUUAGCAUGGAAUAAUAGAAUAGGACGUGCGGUCCUAUUUUGUUGGUUUCUAGGACCGCCGUAAUGAUUAAUAGGGACAGUCGGGGGCAUCAGUAUUCAAUUGUCAGAGGUGAAAUUCUUGGAUUUAUUGAAGACUAACUACUGCGAAAGCAUUUGCCAAGGAUGUUUUCAUUAAUCAGUGAACGAAAGUUAGGGGAUCGAAGACGAUCAGAUACCGUCGUAGUCUUAACCGUAAACUAUGCCGACUAG